GAGCACCUGACUCUUAAUCAGGGUGUCCCGGGUUCGAGUCCCUGAUAGCGCACCA
RNAcentral lists this transfer RNA (55 nucleotides) under Clostridiaceae bacterium. RNAcentral describes it as "tRNA-Ser". It matches the Rfam family "tRNA", at positions 21 to 71 of the family's 71-position model. Rfam says of the family: Transfer RNA (tRNA) molecules are approximately 80 nucleotides in length. Their secondary structure includes four short double-helical elements and three loops (D, anti-codon, and T loops). Further hydrogen bonds mediate the characteristic L-shaped molecular structure. tRNAs have two regions of fundamental functional importance: the anti-codon, which is responsible for specific mRNA codon recognition, and the 3' end, to which the tRNAs corresponding amino acid is attached (by aminoacyl-tRNA synthetases). tRNAs cope with the degeneracy of the genetic code in two manners: having more than one tRNA (with a specific anti-codon) for a particular amino acid; and 'wobble' base-pairing, i.e. permitting non-standard base-pairing at the 3rd anti-codon position. Lineage: Bacteria; Bacillati; Bacillota; Clostridia; Eubacteriales; Clostridiaceae. The record is from RNAcentral.